UACAGAGGGUGCAAGCGUUGUUCAGAAUUAUUGGGCGUAAAGGGCGCGUAGGCGGUGCGGUAAGUCUGUAGUGAAAUCUCUGGGCUCAACUCAGAGUCUGCUGCAGAAACUGCCGUGCUUGAGUGUGGGAGAGGUGAGUGGAAUUCCCGGUGUAGCGGUGAAAUGCGUAGAUAUCGGGAGGACACCUGUGGCGAAAGCGGCUCACUGGAC
Molecule: ribosomal RNA, 210 nt
Filed under: uncultured bacterium
Lineage: Bacteria
Description: partial 16S ribosomal RNA
Rfam family: Bacterial small subunit ribosomal RNA
Source: RNAcentral